GACGAACGCUGGCGGCGUGCUUAACACAUGCAAGUCGAACGGAAAGGCGAUGCUUUGGUGGGGUGCUCGAGUGGCGAACGGGUGAGUAACACGUGAGUAACCUGCCCUUAACUUUGGGAUAACUGCAGGAAACUGGGGCUAAUACCGGAUAGGCGCUCCUGCUGCCUGGUGGGGGUGGGAAAGUUUCGGCGGUUGGGGGUGGACUCGCGGCUUAUCAGAUUAUAGGUGGGGUAGUGGCUGACCAAGGCUUCGACGGGUAGCCGGCCUGAGAGGGGGACCGGCAACAUUGGGACUGGGAUACGGCACAGCCCCCUAUGGGAGGCAGCAGUGGGGAGUAUUACACAAUGGGAGGGAGCCUGAUGCAGCAACGCUGCGUGCGGUAUGAGGAGCUUCGGGUUGUAAACCGCUUUCGCCUGUGACGUAGCGAGAGUGACGGUAAUGGAUAAAGAAGCGCCGGCUAACUACGUG
RNAcentral lists this ribosomal RNA (468 nucleotides) under uncultured bacterium. Its description in RNAcentral is "partial 16S ribosomal RNA". It matches the Rfam family "Bacterial small subunit ribosomal RNA", at positions 28 to 507 of the family's 1533-position model. The record is from RNAcentral.